AGGAUGAACGCUAGCGGCGCGCUUAACGCACGCGAGUCGAGCGAUGAGGCUCCCUUCGGGGGGUACGUCAGCGGGAGACGGGUGAGUAACACGUAGGUAACCUGCCCUCAAGACAGGGAUAACGCCUGGAAACGGGCGCUAAUACCGGAUGACCUUAGUUGGGGAAGCACCGGCUAAUGAAAGGCUUUGGCGCUUGAUGAGGGGCCUGCGGCCCAUCAGUUACUUGGUAGGGUAACGGCCUACCAUUGCGACGACCGGUACGGGGUGUGAGAGCACGGGCCCCCACACUGGGACUUAAACACGGGCCAUACUCCUACUGGAGGCAGCAGCGGGGAAUAUUGCGCAAUGGACGGAAGUCAGACGCAGCAACGCCGCGUGCGUGAAGAAAGCCUUCGGGUUGUAAAGCCCUUUUCUGUGGGAAGAGAACAGGACGGUACCAUAGGAAUAAGCGUCAGCUAACUACGUGCCAGCAGCCGCGGUAAGACGUAGGACGCGAGCGUUGUCCGGAUUUACUGGGCGUAUAGCGUGUGUAGGCGGCGUGACCAGUUGGGCGUGAGAGCCCCGUGCUCGACGCGGGGAGGCCGUUCAAUACUGUCAGGCUAGAGGGCAUCCUAGGGGUGUGGAAUUCCCGGAGUAGCGGUAAAAUGCGCAGAUAUCGGGAGGAACACCGGUGGCGAAA
This 679-nucleotide ribosomal RNA is filed under the name uncultured organism. RNAcentral's name for it is "bacterial SSU rRNA". It matches the Rfam family "Bacterial small subunit ribosomal RNA", at positions 26 to 720 of the family's 1533-position model. The record is from RNAcentral.